Long non-coding RNA from Gopherus evgoodei (Goodes thornscrub tortoise), 124 nucleotides. RefSeq lists it as uncharacterized. The transcript has 3 exons. The record is from RefSeq and is a predicted model, not a curated record. NCBI's taxonomy places the organism in Eukaryota, Metazoa, Chordata, Testudines, Testudinidae.
UGUGAACCGAAAGUAGUUCCUAUGCAGCAGGUAGAUCGCUAUGUGGAAGUACGUGUCCCUCAGGUCAAGGGCAGCAUACCAGUCUCCAGGAUCCAGGAAAGGGAUAAUGGUCCCCAGGGAAACC